UAUUUUAAUUAGGAUUUAGAUUAUGCCUUCCUAUUUUAUUUAGGAUUCCAAUUUUGGAUAUAACUAAAUUUCCUAUUUUAGUUAAGAUUUAUAUUUUCCUAUUAGGAUUAGGAGAUUAAAUCUCUAUAAAUACUCAUAUAUCCUAUGCAUUUUCUGUUUUUAGAGAUUUAGUUAAUAAAAUUGUACAGAUUUUUUUUUCUCUUAAUACUUGUGUAUUAUGUGUGGACAAUGUUCUAUUUGAGCUUCACACUAUGUCAAUUCUCCGCAUCCAUAUCUUGGAAAGAGUGAGUUAUUUAU
This 297-nucleotide unclassified non-coding RNA is filed under the name Hevea brasiliensis (rubber tree). Lineage: Eukaryota; Viridiplantae; Streptophyta; Magnoliopsida; Malpighiales; Euphorbiaceae. The record is from RNAcentral.